CAUAAUCCGACUGGGCGGACGUCAGAUUACGUAAUUAAUAUUCAUGAGACAAGCUCUUUUAGAUCUUGGCCAAACACACAGAUCUUCACAAACGUCGGUCAGAGAGUUUGAUAACUACAACGCUUCAUCAUGGCAGAUGAAAAGGUAAAGAAGUCAGAGGGCAAACAAGUCGAGGGAAUCUUUGGGUUUGGAAAGAAGGAUAAAGACAAAGACAAGAGCAAAGACAAGAGUGAUGAUAAGGAUAAAGAUAAGCACAAAGAUAAAGAACAUAAAGACAAGAAGAAGAAAGACAAGGAGCACAAGAAGAAGGACGGUGACAAGUCCUCGUCUUCCUCCAGCGAUUCGGACUAAAGCAAGACUGAAGAUUCAUCAGAUACCUCCAAAAUCAUAAUUUAAAAUCUUUAUUAUAUGAUUUUUGUAGAUGUAUAACUGCAAUAUUAUGCAAUGCAGGGGUAGUAAUAAAUAAUUAUCAAUCUCUUGAAGUUUUCAUAAAGUUUGAGCUGUAAUUACAAACGUCCACAAGGUGGCGCUACUUGCAUGCCAAAUCUUCAGUGAAGCACUGGAAUAAAGAGACUUAUCAGCUAUUGUGUGUAAAAGUGAUUUCUGGUUUAAUAUAUUCUGAAAUUUGAAAACUUUUCAUCCAUUUUGUCUGAUAUUAACUUUCAGUGGUUGCUGGUUGGUGAACUAUUAUUGUUUUAAAUCUUGGCCAGUUUGUUGUACAAAUGUAGGCCAUGUUUGAGUGUGUAAUAAUCAAAUUUAAAGCAUUCAGCACAAAUUAACUGAUAUAUAUUAUCAAAAUAAAGCUUUAUCUAGUAACUCAGUUAAUUAGAAAUAGGUUAAAGAGUGUUAGGUUAUCCCACACCCUCUGAUUUUCACCAUGAAAAUGGAAAAAGUCAGUUGUCAACAUGACAAUAUCUUUGUCUAAACAGCACACUUAUGCAAAUGCAUGGUGGAUUUUGAAGGUUUCAGCACAGCUCUGUCUUGUUUGAGCACGAUUUGUUUGCUUAUUCAUCUAUGUUUGAGUACGGCACAGAUAAUUCAUCUGAACAGCAGGGACGAAACACGG
This 1066-nucleotide long non-coding RNA is filed under the name Sinocyclocheilus anshuiensis. RNAcentral describes it as "lncRNA (ENSSANG00000030424.1)". The record is from RNAcentral. Lineage: Eukaryota; Metazoa; Chordata; Actinopteri; Cypriniformes; Cyprinidae.